Molecule: ribosomal RNA, 403 nt
Filed under: Streptomyces sp. WMMB 272
Lineage: Bacteria; Bacillati; Actinomycetota; Actinomycetes; Kitasatosporales; Streptomycetaceae
Description: bacterial SSU rRNA
Rfam family: Bacterial small subunit ribosomal RNA
Source: RNAcentral
AUGCAAGUCGAACGAUGAAGCCGCUUCGGUGGUGGAUUAGUGGCGAACGGGUGAGUAACACGUGGGCAAUCUGCCCUGUACUUCGGGAUAAGCCUUGGAAACGGGGUCUAAUACCGGAUGGGACUGCCGGCCGCAUGGUCUGGUGGUGGAAAGCUCCGGCGGUACAGGAUGAGCUCGCGGCCUAUCAGCUUGUUGGUGGGGUGAUGGCCUACCAAGGCGACGACGGGUAGCCGGCCUGAGAGGGCGACCGGCCACACUGGGACUGAGACACGGCCCAGACUCCUACGGGAGGCAGCAGUGGGGAAUAUUGCACAAUGGGCGCAAGCCUGAUGCAGCGACGCCGCGUGAGGGAUGACGGCCUUCGGGUUGUAAACCUCUUUCAGCAGGGAAGAAGCCUUAAAAA